CGACGACGUUUGACUAAAAUUCGGCACGAGCGACGCGGUAUUGAAUACUCUUGUUAUGAAAUAACACUGGGAAGAAAAACUGAACUCCCUCUCUCUUUCUGUCAUUCUCCAAGAACAAAAAAAUUUCUAUUCGCUCUUCUCUUGGAAAUCGAGAAGAGUGAAUUGGAGUGAGAGAAGAUGGGGUUGUCGUUCACGAAGCUGUUCAGCAGGUUGUUUGCGAAGAAGGAAAUGAGGAUUCUGAUGGUAGGUCUCGAUGCUGCUGGUAAGACAACCAUCUUGUACAAGCUCAAGCUUGGAGAAAUCGUCACCACUAUCCCCACCAUAGGAUUUAAUGUUGAGACUGUGGAGUACAAGAACAUCAGCUUCACUGUUUGGGAUGUUGGUGGUCAGGACAAGAUUCGUCCACUAUGGAGGCAUUAUUUCCAGAACACUCAGGGUCUCAUUUUUGUGGUUGAUAGCAAUGAUAGAGACCGAGUGGUUGAGGCAAGGGAUGAGUUGCACAGGAUGCUGAAUGAGGAGUAUUUAUGUUUUCCUUAUUUCAAAUGCCUAAAAGAGAAAACACACAAAAAAGAAAAGGAAUGAAAGGUGUUUUACUUAUUAUUUAUGCAUUGAUUUGGGAUUUUUUUAAUUAUCAUUUUUUACCUUAAAAGAAGCUCUGUAGAUUUGAUGGAUGUAAUUCGAGUGCUCUGUUGCAAUACUGACUUAUUGACCUUAAAUUGCUUGUUGUUAUGACUCAACGACCUUCCGUUGUGCUAAAAUAUACCGGCCCUGUUGCUUUUCUAGUGCAAUAUAACAGAAGCUAGCCCUGCAGCUUUCUGUGCAAUAAUAUAAAAUAAAAAAUCUGUCCUACAAUCCCUACAUUCUAGAUGUUCAAUCCUAGAGGUGAAGGAGAGGGUGUUGAGAUCUGACAUCAACUAUAGAUGUGAAGUAGAGCUUAUAAAAUGUUGAGCAAGGCCAUAUGAGUUAGUUUUUGGGUUGAGACCCAACCCAAAUUGAAAAUAAUGAUGAACUUAGAGAUGCUGUUUUGCUUGUUUUUGCCAACAAGCAAGAUCUUCCUAAUGCAAUGAAUGCUGCAGAAAUAA
Molecule: RNA transcript, 1082 nt
Organism: Vigna angularis (adzuki bean)
Lineage: Eukaryota; Viridiplantae; Streptophyta; Magnoliopsida; Fabales; Fabaceae
Gene name: ADP-ribosylation factor
Exons: 6
Source: RefSeq, a predicted model, not a curated record